CCCGCGGUCAGACGGAAAGACCCCGUGCACCUUUACUACAGCUUUGCAUUGGUGUUAGGGACGACAUGUGUAGGAUAGGUGGUAGGCUUUGAAACUUGGGCGCCAGCUCAGGUGGAGCCACCCUUGAAAUACCACCCUUAUCUUCAUUGACAUCUAACCGCGGCCCGUUAUCCGGGUCCGGGACCCUGUGUGGUGGGUAGUUUGACUGGGGCGGUCGCCUCCCAAAUAGUAACGGAGGCGCGCGAUGGUAGGCUCAGACCGGU
RNAcentral lists this ribosomal RNA (263 nucleotides) under Isochrysis galbana. Its description in RNAcentral is "partial Bacterial large subunit ribosomal RNA". It matches the Rfam family "Bacterial large subunit ribosomal RNA", at positions 2069 to 2331 of the family's 2925-position model. The record is from RNAcentral. Lineage: Eukaryota; Haptophyta; Isochrysidales; Isochrysidaceae.